RNAcentral lists this ribosomal RNA (275 nucleotides) under uncultured Lachnospiraceae bacterium. Its description in RNAcentral is "partial 16S ribosomal RNA". It matches the Rfam family "Bacterial small subunit ribosomal RNA", at positions 74 to 339 of the family's 1533-position model. The record is from RNAcentral. Lineage: Bacteria; Bacillati; Bacillota; Clostridia; Lachnospirales; Lachnospiraceae.
UUUCCUUCGGGACUGAUUAUUUUGUGACUGAGUGGCGGACGGGUGAGUAACGCGUGGGUAACCUGCCUCACACAGGGGGAUAACAGUUAGAAAUGACUGCUAAUACCGCAUAAGCGCACGGCAUCGCAUGAUGCAGUGUGAAAAACUCCGGUGGUGUGAGAUGGACCCGCGUCUGAUUAGUUAGUUGGUGGGGUAACGGCCUACCAAGGCGACGAUCAGUAGCCGACCUGAGAGGGUGACCGGCCACAUUGGGACUGAGACACGGCCCAAACUCC